RNAcentral lists this ribosomal RNA (486 nucleotides) under uncultured bacterium. RNAcentral describes it as "bacterial SSU rRNA". It matches the Rfam family "Bacterial small subunit ribosomal RNA", at positions 28 to 507 of the family's 1533-position model. The record is from RNAcentral.
GAUGAACGCUAGCGGAGGCUUAACACAUGCAAGUCGAGGGGCAGCAUAGGGUAGCAAUACUCUGAUGGCGACCGGCAAACGGGUGAGUAACGCGUAUGCAACCUACCCUGUACAGGGGGAUAACCCGGAGAAAUUCGGACUAAUAUCCCGUAAUAAUAUCCGGAGGCAUCUUUGGAUAUUUAAAGUUCCGACGGUACGGGAUGGGCAUGCGUAACAUUAACUGGUUGGUAAGGUAACGGCUUACCAAGGCUAUGAUGUUUAGGGGUCCUGAGAGGGUGGUCCCCCACACUGGUACUGAGACACGGACCAGACUCCUACGGGAGGCAGCAGUGAGGAAUAUUGGUCAAUGGGCGCAAGCCUGAACCAGCCAUCCCGCGUGCAGGAAGACGGCCCUAUGGGUUGUAAACUGCUUUUCCAGGGAGAGAAACUUACGCACGUGUUGCGUGACUGACGGUACCCUGGGAAUAAGCAUCGGCUAACUCCGUG